GCCCCAGACAAGGGGCAGAGUAACCUUAGUGACUGCCAGGCCCAGAAGGUCUCCUGGUGGUGACCGGGCCAGGCUACUUCCUGAUGGCACAGAAGCGGCAGAAGCGGCGGCCUUGGCACACUCCCUGGACAAGAAGUAUGCAGAGCCAGAGCAAGAUCUGAAACCAUGUCCAACACUUCUCCUUCCUGUGUAUCCAUUCCGUGAGUCAAGGCAGGCUUCUGGAACAUUCCAGGAACACAGAAGAAAUUUACCCUCGGCUUCAAUUCAGAGGGUUCCUUCGAGGGCACACAGUUUGCAAAACAAGACUGUACGAGGUAUGACCUUCCCUCAUAUCAAUCUCCCAUUCAUCCAGUUUGGCUCAAGGCCUCAGCAUACAACUGGUAUUGAGUGAAUGCUCCCCUCUGGAAACCAAGGAGUACUCAGAGCUCACCUGAGAUGCAGCACAUCCAGCUGGAAGGUUGGAAAGCCAAUCCAGAUCACUGAGUCUAACCCAGCAGCCCUGGACCUGGUGGGGAUGGGACAGGGGGGAAGAGCUUUCCCAAGGCCCUCUGGGCAGGAGGCAAAGCCGGACAGAUGGCUUCAGGCUGCAGACCCUCAGCUGAGUUUACUUCCAUGCAUCCCAGUUUGGAUGUUAGAGACACUGUUUGCAUUUUCUUUCAGACCCAAAAUGCAUUAGGACAGGUCCCUUGCUCUUCCCUGAGGCAGAUGCAAUCCAGCAGGACUUUGUGGUCCUCCCAGCCCAUACCUCUGAAGUUUCCUGGGUGUGGCUGAGCUCAGCUCCACAAGGUGACCAGUGCCAGAGGCAGGAGUUGCUCAACAGUGAGCAUGUUUGGAGAGGUGAUGUCACACCCAAGGAAAAAUAUCUUCUUGAGGAAAAAGUGGUCAUCUACAGAGUACAUCCCUAAAACAGUGCCAAGUUCAUAGAGUAAGCAUUCUUCCACCUCAGUCAGGCAGCUUACCAAGCACAGUGGUGCAAGCCCAUCAAUUCCCUCCAUCUUUGUCUCACCACCCCUCUGCCCGCUAGCUUGGGCUACCAGGGUCAACCACGUCCACCCACCAUGAAAUGCUGGAUGAUCCUAAAGACCAAGGCCACCGCUGGAGAUGUGACCCAUACCACGCAGGUCCCAGGUGCAAGCAGAACCCAAACCGCACACCCUGCCAGCAGGAUCACUGUGGCUGCUUCUGAUGGGGCUCCUGGACAGCUUGACCUCCCGCCUCGAGGGAGUAAGGAGUGGGGAUAUCUGUACCAGCGACAAAGGUUCCCAGCCCUGCUUCCCUGAGAUGGAAAGGAUUGCCUCGAGGAAUUUGGCCUUGUCCCAAGGAGUCUAAAGUCAUCCUUGGAGUUUUGAAAGGGAAGAUUCUGACAAGCUGCCCAAAAGGUAGGUAAGAGUGGCCACCAGGGCCAUAUGGACAGGAAAGCUACAUGGACACGUUUGCUGAGCCACCAAGAGAAACCACGUGGGGGCACUUGCCCUUGGCUGUCCUGAUAAAGGCCAACCAAGAUAUCCAUGGAAGACAUCCACACCAAGACAGAGGCUGGCUUUCUCCCAGUCCCACCCAACAUCCAACCCAUCUAAGUUCUAUUUGGUGAAACAGGCCAAAGGGGAACAUGGAACAACUUCAAGGAUCAAGUCUUUUCAUUGCCAACUCACAAAACAUUCCCCUAACCCAGCACUCACUAAAGAGCUGCGUUCGGCCUGUUUGAAGCAGCACUCUCUGGGUCCGGCGCUGGCCCCAUAGCCAUCCAGAAAGAGGGGAGCAUCGGCCCCUUUGCUCUGAGAAAGGUCAAGAUGCACGUACUUAACACAACUUAUUUUUUGGAAGCUCAUGACUUUCUCCAAGUGGCCUUGGGUACUGUGCACCUUCUCUGGGCUUCAACUUCCCUUUUUUGUGACAUUCUGGGGGUUCUAAAUAUAUACUAUAGUUUUGCCCUUACAAUAGUUAAUUGUUUAUCUGGAAAACACCUUCUCCUUUCCCAAGUGCUAAAUUUAAUUCUCACAAACGUCGUGUGAGGAGAGCAGCCCAGGGAUGGGCUAGCCCUGUUCUUACAGAGGACGACACUGAGGCUGGGAAGAGUAUCCAUGCCCACCAGUGGACGGUGGUCCACAAACCAGUCCACAGCACACUGGUCACAACCACAUAACGAAAAUAAAAAAAAAAAACAACACAGCCAAACAGUUCAAAAAGCUUCAUUGGUUCACUUUUUUUAAAAGUUGGCCCUUUAUUUCAAAAGAUGAUUCCUACUUCAACUUUUAAAAGUUUUCUGAAAUUGUUUCAAGGUCCUUUCUUUGCCAGCAGAUAAUAACCUGGAUAAUCUCUGUUGUACCAGGAAGGUAAAGGGGCUUACACUUCAGGGACCUUCCCUUCCAAGACAAUCUGGAAAUGUAUUCACAUGGUCUUGCAUUUUUGGAAAAUUUGCAAAAAUGAGAUACUUCUUUAUUCUUUCCCUUAAAGAGGCCACCCCCUAAUGCAUAAGUUUCAUGGGUGUCUGAAUCUUGUUUCUGAACCUGACCUUAGUCCUCUGGCAUUUUUUAAAUUAAUUUAUCCUACUGACCCAUGAAUCCCCAGAGUCCAUGACCCAUUUCACCAAGUGGAUGACUCAAGGUCUUUUCAGACAUGGAGACCCUGGGAUUCUUUUGUCUUGCCCUAGUUUGGACAGAGAAAAGCCACACCAAGGCUGGCUCCUAUGGCUACUCUUCCUUCCACCCCACGCUGCCCAUCAAGGAAAAGGAAUCUCCAGGAAAUUUUGACCUACUCUCAAAACACAGAAGACUGACUGUUUUCUGAGCAUUUCUUAGAAGAGAGAGAGAAAUGCGUUGCUUUGCAAACUUUGAGCAUUACACCACUCACACAUUAAACCCAAGAGCUGUGGAAUUUCCAUGAGUAAGCCGGGGGCCAGCUUGAGAGGAGCACACCCCGGACUAAAAUUAGAUGUGUCCCUGAGCCAGCGAGGCUGCCUCCUGGGCCUCUCCUGGCAGCCAUUUUCACUUGAAAUGGGAUACAAGAGUCCUUGCAUCCCAGCCUGGGAGUCCUUUCCCUUCCUGUUCACCUGAGGUUACCAGCCUCUUGCCCUUUAGAGGGUUUCCAGGUGCUCAGCACCGGAUAGCUCAUGAGUGGAAGCCCAGCAGGUGGGAGGAUCACCAAGGAUCACAGGUGGGAAUCCAGCCAUUCAAGGGGGAAAUCAAUGCUGAAACUCCAUGAGCCCUAAAGCAGGGGAACACAGGACUGACUUCAUGAAGGUGUCAAGACAGAGGUAUUCAACAUUUUAGCCCAAGGGCAGGUUUCCCUCCCAGAUCCCCAACACUCUGGUUUCCUAAGAGUGGGGAAAACAAACCUAAGCAACACAACCCCUUUUUUCCUUUCCCAAAAAAAAAGCAGAAUAAAAUCCCAUAGCAAGGUUCUGCUGUCCCUGAUUCCCAAGUGUCAGGGAUCUAAGUGACAGGGGCUGAGGCCGGAAGCAACCUGCAAACUCCCUGGGAGUCCUUGCUUCUCCAAGCUGCACCCUCCCGCCAGGGUCCCCCUUCCCAUGGGGCCAUGUGCAGGGACCUACAGACUGCACUCCUUCUGGAUCAUGUGGGCGAGAAACAGCCCCAGUAAAACGGCCAACAGGAAGAGCUUUGACCAAAGGUAUCUGGAACUCUUUCCAGAACAAAUAUAAAACCAUCUGAGGCAGCUAGAACCACGUCGGGCAGACUCCUGUUGGAAAUGUCACACUGAACCUCAUGAUGUGGAUGUAAUCAAAGGAUCAGGGGUUUGGAGAAAACAUCCAGAGGGUCAGGAAAGGAUUCCAGUACUAGCAGGGUGGAUGGGGUGUGCUGGAUCUGGGGAGGGAGGUGGGGAAUCAGCACCAGACAACACAGAGAGAGAGAGCUGCUUUCUGUGCAUCUGGAAAAUAUGUGAGCGCUGUCGAUUCUCUGACAGCCGCUGACUCCUUGGAAGUCACAGGACUUACGGAUGCUCCUAUGUAACCAAGGAAGGAGUUACCAUAAUUGUACUCUUGGGCUGCAUCCGGGGGGUUCCUGAGAGUUUCUGAAGCCAGCCCGUGUUGUACUCCAUCAACCCACUCAGAUUCCAGCACUCCAUGACACACACUCUAACCUUGUUACAUCUCUUAAUGAUCCUUACCAGAGAGAGACAAGAGAAAGAUUCCAUGAACUAUUCAUUUUCUCUAUCUAUUCUGUGUGUUUUCUACUUUUACUUUACUUUGAAAACUGAAAAAAAUAAGGAAAUUCAAGCAACAAUACAAUGCAUACUAGUUAUAGUGACAGUUGAUAUCUGGCUCAUUUUUUUUCAACACACACACACACACAAAAAAAAAAAACUGGUUGUGGGGGGUUGGGGUUUUGCUCUACUGAACCAUCUGAAAGCAAAUUGUAACAUCAUGACACUCCACCCCUGAACCCCAAAGAGCGAGGAUGUUCUCCUGCAUAAUCCUCGAGGACUUCAUUUGUAUGACAACACUUUUCCAAACUAGGAGCCUUGUCUGAGCUUUCCCAUGUCCCUGCAACUGGGCCACGAGCCCUUUGGGAGUUAUUUUCUUCAAAAAGAAGAAUAAUAAUAAAUCAGUUGUAAUGUC
Ictidomys tridecemlineatus (thirteen-lined ground squirrel) is the source of this 4576-nucleotide non-coding RNA. Lineage: Eukaryota; Metazoa; Chordata; Mammalia; Rodentia; Sciuridae. The record is from RefSeq and is a predicted model, not a curated record.